UUUACUUCUUAGCUUUGAAUCUAGGCUCGAGGUUUAUAAGCCCGCCAAGUUGAACAUGGAGCGAUCUGCCCUCUUUGCACUUGGCUCAAACAACUUGUUAUAAUAGAGAAGGGGGAACACAGCAGAAUCAUCGAGGAAACCAAAAUUUCCCAAUAGAAAUGAUGGCAGAGGUAGAGGAAAUGGUUACAGGGGUGGCAGAUCUGGUGGUAGAGGAAGAUAUGGAAAUAGGCUUGUUUGCCAACUCUGUUUUGGUAUCAUUUUGAACAAACAUUCAUGCCUCCACAAAAUUCCAACAACAGGACUUUCCAUCAGCAGGGAUCCUAUCAGCAGCAAGAAUCUUAUCAGCCAACACCCUCUGCCAAUGUUGCUCAGACCAGGGGAUCUUCUAGUUAUGGGAUUCCAUCUUAAUAUGCUCCUUAUGCCUCCUCAUCUUUCAAACAUGAAUAAUGUCUCAGAAUAUUAUGGAGAUUCCAAGGAGAUCAUACUCAGGGGCAUACUUGACAAUGGGCUCUACAAAUUUCUCUUCAACAAGGUUCCCACAUCCCCAUCUUUUCCUACUUCAAUCAAGGCCAAGCCAGUUUCUGCCAAUGCUUGUUCAUCUGCUGCUUUACUUUCUUCUUGUACUCAAUCUGAUAGUUUAGAACUUUGGCACCAAAGGCUUGGACAUUGUGCCUUGGCUAUUGUCAAAAGAAUUCUAUUAGAUUGUAAAAAUCAAUGAAAUCAGAUUUUGUUUGUCA
Long non-coding RNA from Salvia splendens (bonfire salvia), 737 nucleotides. RefSeq lists it as uncharacterized. The transcript is spliced from 2 exons. The record is from RefSeq and is a predicted model, not a curated record. NCBI's taxonomy places the organism in Eukaryota, Viridiplantae, Streptophyta, Magnoliopsida, Lamiales, Lamiaceae.